UGACGAAGGGGCUAGCGUUUGUUCGGAGUUUACUGGGCGUAAAGCGCACGUAGGCGGUUUGUUAAGUCAGGGGUGAAAUCCCAGAGCUCAACUCUGGAACUGCCUUUGAUACUGGCAAGCUCGAGUCCGGAAGAGGUAAGUGGAACUCCUAGUGUAGAGGUGGAAUUCGUAGAUAUUAGGAAGAACACCAGUGGCGAAGGCGGCUUACUGGUCCGGAACUGACGCUGAGGUGCGAAAGCGUGGGGAGCAAACAGG
Molecule: ribosomal RNA, 255 nt
Filed under: uncultured bacterium
Lineage: Bacteria
Description: partial 16S ribosomal RNA
Rfam family: Bacterial small subunit ribosomal RNA
Source: RNAcentral